Molecule: non-coding RNA, 29 nt
Filed under: Homo sapiens (human)
Lineage: Eukaryota; Metazoa; Chordata; Mammalia; Primates; Hominidae
Also listed under: 1 other name
Source: RNAcentral
UGCGCAGCGAGGUCACGCAGAAGGUGUAC